CGGCCAUGUUGGUGCGAGAGCUUUCUUCUUGGGUUUGAUGGUCUAGGGUUCCACGUGGUUGAUGAGGAUGAGAACUUCUCUAGAAGAGCCGGACUAAAUCGAGUAUGAAGUUUACCCUGUAUCAAACUGGACCUGGCUCAAGAUCUUGGAUCUCUGGAAGAUGCCCAUUUGUGGUUGGGUAACCUAAUGUAAAAUGUUUUGUUAAAUUGACCGUAACUUAAUUGAAUGGUGAUUUGCAUUGUUUCGGAGACACUCAUCCAGAGUUAUUUGCAUACCUAUUGUAUUUGCAUAUGACAAAUAAAACAUUCAGCUUGA
Molecule: long non-coding RNA, 315 nt
Organism: Esox lucius (northern pike)
Lineage: Eukaryota; Metazoa; Chordata; Actinopteri; Esociformes; Esocidae
Exons: 4
Source: RefSeq, a predicted model, not a curated record